GUACAGCGGCAGCAGCAACUCGUAGAUUCCCACGUCCGAGUUCUCGACGGCCAACACGAUCCGCUCGAAGCUCGGGCUGUACUUGUCCAGGAAGCGUCGGAUCGUCCCUGCGCAGCAAAAUCGAUUAAUUAAAUUACAUAAUUAUUCCGAGAAGAAAAUGAUCAGGCAAUUGCGGGAGAUUACCAAUUAAAAUUUCCCCCUACCUCACAUGCACUCUCUUGGUAAUAAAAACACACGGACUGACUGACCAGAGAAGAUAAGAGAUGAUAGCGUGCAAACAUUUGACUUUCCUCAGCGUUAAAAAAUAACAAUCACCCACGUCAUUCACACAUGAAGAUGAAGUUGAUCAGUUUCAUUGGAAGCACAAAUUUGAGAAUCUAAUAAAGUACGUGGAUGGAUUAAAAUUACACACCCUUGCGAAGAGGAACUUUCUGAAUACAUUCCAGUUUGCAAAAACCAUCUUUAAAAGGAAUAAAAUUUAUGAAAGAUAUUAAGUGUGACACGUCUUUGGACAGAUCAGAUCAUGAGGAAUCAAUUAAAGGCCAGAAAUAAAUGAUAAAACAUGACCGUGUCUGAACCGUGACUCGAUGCAAAUACAUGAAAAGCUCAGCAAAAGUCAAGUGUGCGCCCCGAGUGCAAGCCAAAGAAGCCAAGUGUCGGGGGCAGAAAUUGAUUGCGCUUACUGAGGGCGAUGUGCGCCCCCUGGUCCGGGGGGUAGUUCCUCUUGACCGAGUUGAUGGCCGGGAUGGCGAGGGUGGCGACGCCGAGCUCGCAGGCCUUCUGCAGAACGUUCCUGCAACCGCACAAAACAAGCAAUGAGUGAAUCGGGAAGCUUAUCUUGGCCAAACAAUUGCCAUUGAUUGAUUCCCGGUGACGGCGAUAAGCAUAGAAAGGAUGAUAUGAAAUUUCGCCUGCGCCUUAUUUUGAGGAAAGACAACUUUCAAACUGGAAGUGAUUCUUAUCGUGCGGGUGAAUCGGGGCAGCUGCGCAAACAGCUCCUUAUUUACUUUUGACUUUGUCCGACCGUCGGAUCGAUGCCUCGGCCGUCAAUAAUUCAUCAAAGAAGCGCGUGCUAAUUCGCGGCCGAAAUGACGAAAGGCGCCCCGGGACUGUCGUGACCAAAGUCGUGACUGCACCUGUGGCCCCACUCGGAAAACACCCCUUUGCUUAUCAGCGGCUUAUCGCCGGCACGCGACGCCAAAGAAUUAGCGCGUCCAAACGGCCAAUUCCCCUGCUCUUAAUUUUCUGAUCAAAUCAACAUUUAUUUCUGUAA
This is a long non-coding RNA of Neocloeon triangulifer, 1273 nucleotides long. RefSeq lists it as uncharacterized. NCBI's taxonomy places the organism in Eukaryota, Metazoa, Arthropoda, Insecta, Ephemeroptera, Baetidae. The record is from RefSeq and is a predicted model, not a curated record. The transcript is spliced from 4 exons.